GGGGCCUUAGUAUAGUUUGGUCUAGUACUCUAGCUCGGGGAGCUAGUAACGGGAGUCCGAAUCUCCCAGGCCCCA
RNAcentral lists this transfer RNA (75 nucleotides) under archaeon. Its description in RNAcentral is "tRNA-Pro". It matches the Rfam family "tRNA". From Rfam's summary of the family: Transfer RNA (tRNA) molecules are approximately 80 nucleotides in length. The record is from RNAcentral.